CUUGGAGAAGACACGCAUGGAGAAUCUUGGAGCAGAGGAGGAUGAUGAAGACUUGGAAAGAGACUUCUUCUUCUUGUCGCCGAGUAUCCUCAACGAGUAAUACAGCAAGAAAGGCGAUCUUAGGAGAUUUGAAGUCACUGGAUUCGAUUGCCGGAGGAACGUACAUCGUCGCCAUUGAGAGAAGUAAGUGUGGUUGGUGGGAUCAGU
RNAcentral lists this long non-coding RNA (207 nucleotides) under Brassica napus (rape). Its description in RNAcentral is "long non-coding RNA (BNAP_LNC013596)". The record is from RNAcentral. Lineage: Eukaryota; Viridiplantae; Streptophyta; Magnoliopsida; Brassicales; Brassicaceae.